Molecule: small nuclear RNA, 107 nt
Organism: Saimiri boliviensis boliviensis (Bolivian squirrel monkey)
Lineage: Eukaryota; Metazoa; Chordata; Mammalia; Primates; Cebidae
Source: Ensembl
GUGCUUGCUUCGGCAGCACAUAUAGUAAAAUUGGAACGACACAGAGAAGAUUAGCAUGGCCCCUGUGCAAGGAUGAUGUGUAAAUUCGAGAAGCGUUCCAUAUUUUU